CCUACGGGAGGCUGCAGUGAGGAAUAUUGGUCAAUGGACGGAAGUCUGAACCAGCGAUGCCGCGUGAAGGACGACGGCUCUCUGAGUUGUAAACUGCUUUUGUACAAGGGUAAAUCUGUAUAAGUGUCUUCAGAUGAAUGUACUGUACGAAUAAGGAUCGGCUCACUCCGUUCCAGCAGCCGCGGUACUACGGAGGAUCGAAGCGUUAUCCGGAUUUAUUGGGUUUAACGGGUGCGUAGGCGGAUUGAUAAGUUAGAGGGGAAAUGUCCGAGCUUAACUCGGGAAAUGCCACUAAUACUGUAGAUCUAGAGAGUAGAUGCGGAAUGCAGAAUGUAUGGUGUAGCGGUGAAAUGCUUAGAGAUCAUACAGAACACCGAUUGCGAAGGCAGCUUACCAAUCUAUAUCUGACGUUGAGGCACGAAAGCGUGGGGAGCAAACAGGAUUAGAUACCCCUGUAGUC
This 460-nucleotide ribosomal RNA is filed under the name uncultured bacterium. RNAcentral's name for it is "partial 16S ribosomal RNA". It matches the Rfam family "Bacterial small subunit ribosomal RNA", at positions 338 to 795 of the family's 1533-position model. The record is from RNAcentral.